CGGAGGGUGCAAGCGUUAUCCGGAUUCACUGGGUUUAAAGGGUGCGUAGGUGGGCAAGUAAGUCAGUGGUGAAAUCUCCGGGCUUAACCCGGAAACUGCCAUUGAUACUAUUUGUCUUGAAUACUGUGGAGGUCAGCGGAAUAUGUCAUGUAGCGGUGAAAUGCUUAGAUAUGACAUAGAACACCAAUUGCGAAGGCAGCUGGCUACACAAAUAUUGACACUGAGGCACGAAAGCGUGGGAAUCAAACAGGAUUAGAUACCCUGGUAGUCCACGCCCUAAACUAUGGAUACUCGACAUUUGCGAUAAACUGCAAGUGUCUGAGCGAAAGCAUUAAGUAUCCCACCUGGGAAGUACGAUCGCAAGAUUG
This 368-nucleotide ribosomal RNA is filed under the name uncultured organism. RNAcentral's name for it is "bacterial SSU rRNA". It matches the Rfam family "Bacterial small subunit ribosomal RNA", at positions 526 to 896 of the family's 1533-position model. The record is from RNAcentral.